UGAGCAAUCUGCCCUUCUCAUCGGAAUAAGCGUUGGAAACGACGUCUAAUGCCGAAUACGACCUCCUUUCGCAUGAUCGGAGGUGGAAAGCUCCGGCGGAGAAGGAUGAGCUCGCGGCCUAUCAGCUAGUUGGUGUGGGUAAUGGCCCACCAAGGCGACGACGGGUAGCCGGCCUGAGGAGGGUGACCCGGCCACACGUGGGACUGAGACACGGCCCAGACCUCCGUACGGGAGCA
RNAcentral lists this ribosomal RNA (236 nucleotides) under uncultured bacterium. RNAcentral's name for it is "partial 16S ribosomal RNA". It matches the Rfam family "Bacterial small subunit ribosomal RNA", at positions 118 to 347 of the family's 1533-position model. The record is from RNAcentral.